Molecule: transfer RNA, 89 nt
Filed under: Thiohalophilaceae bacterium
Lineage: Bacteria; Pseudomonadati; Pseudomonadota; Gammaproteobacteria; Thiohalomonadales; Thiohalophilaceae
Also listed under: 1 other name
Description: tRNA-Ser
Rfam family: tRNA
About the family: Transfer RNA (tRNA) molecules are approximately 80 nucleotides in length. Their secondary structure includes four short double-helical elements and three loops (D, anti-codon, and T loops).
Source: RNAcentral
GGAGAGGUGACUGAGCUGGCCGAAAGUACCGGUCUUGAAAACCGGCGAUUGGAAACGAUCCGUGGGUUCGAAUCCCACCCUCUCCGCCA